AAAUAAAUUUUUUAUGGUUUAAAAAAUUUAUAAUAAGUUUAUUUUACAUAUAAAUUUUAGUGUUAAUUUUUAAUUAUUUUAAUAAUAAUUAUUUUUUUUUAUAGUAAUUAGUUUUAAAAAUUUAAGAAAUUAAGAUUUAGUAAUUCAAAAAUUUUUAACUAAUUUUGUGCCAGCAGUUGCGGUUAUACAAAAAAUAAUAUAAAUUUUUUUAGUAAAUUAGUUAAUAAAUUAAUUUAAUAAAUUAAAUUUUAAAUUAUUAAGUGAAAUUUUAAUUUAAUAUAAUUUUAUAAUGAAAUUGUGUUUACUAAUAAAUUUUAUUAAAAACUAGGAUUAGAUACCCUAUUAUUAAAAAUUUAAAUUAAAAAUACUAAAAUAGUAAAUAAUUAUUUAUUGAAACUUAAAUAAUUUGGCGGUAUUUUAGUUCAUUUAGAGGAAUCUGUUUAUUAAUUGAUAAUCCACGAAUAAAUUUACUUAAUUUAAAAGUUUAUAUAUCGUUGUUAAAAAAAUAUUUUUUAAUAAAAAUAAUAUUUUAAAAUUUAAAUAAAAAAUUAAAUCAGAUCAAGAUGUAGUUUAUAAUUAAGAAUAUAAUGGAUUACAAUAAAUUUAUUUAUAUGGCUUUUAAUUUGAAAUAAUUAAAUAAAAGUGGAUUUAACUGUAAUUUUUUUUAAUUUAAAAAAAUGAUUAAAAAUUAAAAUAUGUACAUAUUGCCCGUCGCUUUCAUUUAAAAAUUGAAAUAAGUCGUAACAAAGUAGAGGUACUGGAAAGUGUUUCUAGAAAGAU
RNAcentral lists this non-coding RNA (780 nucleotides) under Comparmustilia sphingiformis. Lineage: Eukaryota; Metazoa; Arthropoda; Insecta; Lepidoptera; Endromidae. The record is from RNAcentral.